GAUGAACGCUGGCGGCGUGCCUAAUACAUGCAAGUCGAGCGAACGGACGAGAAGCUUGCUUCUCUGAUGUUAGCGGCGGACGGGUGAGUAACACGUGGAUAACCUACCUAUAAGACUGGGAUAACUUCGGGAAACCGGAGCUAAUACCGGAUAAUAUUUUGAACCGCAUGGUUCAAAAGUGAAAGACGGUCUUGCUGUCACUUAUAGAUGGAUCCGCGCUGCAUUAGCUAGUUGGUAAGGUAACGGCUUACCAAGGCAACGAUGCAUAGCCGACCUGAGAGGGUGAUCGGCCACACUGGAACUGAGACACGGUCCAGACUCCUACGGGAGGCAGCAGUAGGGAAUCUUCCGCAAUGGGCGAAAGCCUGACGGAGCAACGCCGCGUGAGUGAUGAAGGUCUUCGGAUCGUAAAACUCUGUUAUCAGGGAAGAACAUAUGUGUAAGUAACUGUGCACAUCUUGACGGUACCUAAUCAGAAAGCCACGGCUAACUACGUGCCAGCAGCCGCGGUAAUACGUAGGUGGCAAGCGUUAUCCGGAAUUAUUGGGCGUAAAGCGCGCGUAGGCGGUUUUUUAAGUCUGAUGUGAAAGCCCACGGCUCAACCGUGGAGGGUCAUUGGAAACUGGAAAACUUGAGUGCAGAAGAGGAAAGUGGAAUUCCAUGUGUAGCGGUGAAAUGCGCAGAGAUAUGGAGGAACACCAGUGGCGAAGGCGACUUUCUGGUCUGUAACUGACGCUGAUGUGCGAAAGCGUGGGGAUCAAACAGGAUUAGAUACCCUGGUAGUCCACGCCGUAAACGAUGAGUGCUAAGUGUUAGGGGGUUUCCGCCCCUUAGUGCUGCAGCUAACGCAUUAAGCACUCCGCCUGGGGAGUACGACCGCAAGGUUGAAACUCAAAGGAAUUGACGGGGACCCGCACAAGCGGUGGAGCAUGUGGUUUAAUUCGAAGCAACGCGAAGAACCUUACCAAAUCUUGACAUCCUUUGACAACUCUAGAGAUAGAGCUUUCCCCUUCGGGGGACAAAGUGGCAGGUGGUGCAUGGUUGUCGUCAGCUCGUGUCGUGAGAUGUUGGGUUAAGUCCCGCAACGAGCGCAACCCUUAAGCUUAGUUGCCAUCAUUAAGUUGGGCACUCUAAGUUGACUGCCGGUGACAAACCGGAGGAAGGUGGGGAUGACGUCAAAUCAUCAUGCCCCUUAUGAUUUGGGCUACACACGUGCUACAAUGGACAAUACAAAGGGCAGCGAAACCGCGAGGUCAAGCAAAUCCCAUAAAGUUGUUCUCAGUUCGGAUUGUAGUCUGCAACUCGACUACAUGAAGCUGGAAUCGCUAGUAAUCGUAGAUCAGCAUGCUACGGUGAAUACGUUCCCGGGUCU
RNAcentral lists this ribosomal RNA (1372 nucleotides) under uncultured bacterium. RNAcentral's name for it is "bacterial SSU rRNA". It matches the Rfam family "Bacterial small subunit ribosomal RNA", at positions 28 to 1381 of the family's 1533-position model. The record is from RNAcentral.